Massilia timonae is the source of this 73-nucleotide transfer RNA. It matches the Rfam family "tRNA". From Rfam's summary of the family: Transfer RNA (tRNA) molecules are approximately 80 nucleotides in length. Lineage: Bacteria; Pseudomonadati; Pseudomonadota; Betaproteobacteria; Burkholderiales; Oxalobacteraceae. The record is from Rfam.
GCCGACUUAGCUCAUCAGGUAGAGCAGUUGAUUUGUAAUCAUCAGGUGGCGGGUUCGAGUCCUGCAGUCGGCA